CCUACGGGAGGCAGCAGUGUCUUAUGGGGGGCAGCAGUGGGGAAUUUGGCACAAUCGGGGAAACCGAGAGGCAACGGCGCUGCGGGUGGUAAGAUUGCUUUUGGGUUGAAAAAAUGGGUUCACGGGGGAGCUAAUGACGGUACCCCAGGAGGAAGCCCCGGCUAACUACGUGCCAGCAGCCGCGGUAAUACGUAGGGGGCGAGCGUUGUCCGGAUUUAUUGGGUGUAAAGGGUGCGUAGGCGGGUUUUUAAGUCAGAUGUGAAAUCCCGGGGCUUAACCCCGGGAUUGCAUUUGAAACUGGAUGCCUUGAGUGCAGGAGAGGAAAGUGGAAUUCCUAGUGUAGCGGUGAAAUGCGUAGAUAUUAGGAGGAACACCAGUGGCGAAGGCGACUUUCUGGACCUAUAACUGACGCUGAGC
Molecule: ribosomal RNA, 417 nt
Filed under: uncultured Eubacteriales bacterium
Lineage: Bacteria; Bacillati; Bacillota; Clostridia; Eubacteriales
Description: bacterial SSU rRNA
Rfam family: Bacterial small subunit ribosomal RNA
Source: RNAcentral